UUUUUUAGAAGUGAAAUCAGGUUACGAAGAGCACUAAGGCAGCUUUGAAGGGGAAGUCCUGAGAGAACAGGCUGCAGCUUCGGGGUGGAGACACCAGACCUGAAAUGAAUGCUAGAGGCUGGCUGAGUUGCAACAAAAGAGCAGGGAAUCUUUUAAUAGUGAAUGUCAAUAGGCAGCAGGCCAUCUCCAUGCCUUCUGCCCUCUUUGUCUUUACAAACACCAUAAGGCGCAUCCUUUGAUACACCUGACCGGUACUCCUCAGAACUGUCAAGGUCAUCAAAAACAAGGCAUGCUGUGUUUUCUUAACCUUCUCCAUGGCUGUCUUGGCCUGGCCCUCUGGACUGCUCCAACUUUGCUGUUCAUUGUGAUCAUUGGAUCUAUCUGAUUUUUGACAGCUACACAUCAUCAUCUGUCCUCUAUUCCCCCUACCCCCACUGGGUAGCAGGGUGAUUGUGAUCAUCUCUAUUGCUAUCAGUUAGCUUAGUUCUGUGUUCUGUGAUCACCUUUUC
This is a long non-coding RNA of Homo sapiens (human), 509 nucleotides long. Ensembl annotates it as long intergenic non-protein coding RNA 2694. NCBI's taxonomy places the organism in Eukaryota, Metazoa, Chordata, Mammalia, Primates, Hominidae. The record is from Ensembl.